AAAAAAUUCGCAACAGCCAACGUCGGGAAGGCUCGGGCAGCACGGCUCCCUGCUGGUGUUUGUAUGCACACAACUUCACCCAGAUUUCUGCGUGGUGAGUGACCAUCGAGAGGGGCAGGACUGGUGGCAGACACAGAGAUCAGGAACUAGAUGGGUUUGUCAGAUAUAUAAUGAGGUCUCCAGCCACUCCCAUUUGAAAGAAAUGAACCAGAAGCCCUGGGGAGUUGAACUACAAGUGGAUACAGAGGAGAGAGGCAGAAAGGAAUUGAGCAAGUAGAGGUGUCUGUCCCGUUCUACAACCAAAACCAGUCUUCCUGCCCACCCCACUUCCCAUUCCCAUCCUGGCUCCCGCUGGCCCAGCAGAGGCUAACGGCGUCCCUGCCACAAUGGAGGAGAGAUGCAAAGACUUGCCACCCUGCAUAAAUCAGUCCACCUGAAAAUGUCAGAAAACCAAAGCUGGUCCUUGUCAGCUACAGCAGGAACCAUGAACAUUCAGCACUCAUCUGAAAUGCUGUCUUCACAACAGAGCAAAAGCAAAACAAGUCGCAGAGGAGUGUCCUCCUGUUGAGCCAUCCUCCCUCACCAUCUCAGGAAGACAGGCCUUUGCAUCGUAGCAGCAUUUAAGAAUACUCACAAGUCCCGUGUGUUUGCAUGUGAAACUGGUUUCUCUGAAAUUCAUUCUGCUCCUACAUAAUGGCUGCUCUGCCUACUACAGAAUAAAAUUAACUUCAAGAAGAAAUACUUUUCACAUGAUUCCCAAAAGUGGGGCUUUUAAGCCAGUGACUACGAGAGUUUACAUCGCUUCCUAUCAAGCAACAAAAGAUGGAUAUAGUGGACAAGGAGUACCCAGGCAGUGCACAAAGGAGGCCAAGAUUUUCCAUUUGGAUGUUCCUUCAAGAAAAUAUCUGAGUGAUGUCCAGCAUGCUCCAG
Long non-coding RNA from Tyto alba (common barn owl), 930 nucleotides. RefSeq lists it as uncharacterized. The transcript has 6 exons. Lineage: Eukaryota; Metazoa; Chordata; Aves; Strigiformes; Tytonidae. The record is from RefSeq and is a predicted model, not a curated record.